This 492-nucleotide ribosomal RNA is filed under the name uncultured bacterium. Its description in RNAcentral is "partial 16S ribosomal RNA". It matches the Rfam family "Bacterial small subunit ribosomal RNA", at positions 29 to 507 of the family's 1533-position model. The record is from RNAcentral.
AGUGAACGCUGGCGGUAGGCCUAACACAUGCAAGUCGAGCGGCAGAACAGUGAGAGCUUGCUCUUACGGGUGCCGAGUGGCGGGCAGGUGCGAAGUACCUCGGAGUCUACUUUUUCGAGGGUGCGGACGUGGGGGCACAUACGGUAAUACCCCAGACGGCCUACGUGUGGAAGCAUCGGAUCUUACGCCCUUACACGAGUGAAUGAGCCAAGGUCGGAUUAGCUAGUUGGCGGGGUAAAGGCCCACCAAGGCGACGAUCCGUAGCUGGUCUGAGAGGAUGAUCAGCCACACUGGAACUGAGACACGGUCCAGACUCCUACGGGAGGCAGCAGUGGGGAAUAUUGGACAAUGGGCGCAAGCCUGAUCCAGCCAUACCGCGUGGGUGAAGAAGGUCUUCGGGUUGUAAAGCACUUUUGGUUGGAAAGAAAAGCAGCAGGUUAAUACCUUGCUGUUUUGACGUUACCAAAAGAAUAAGCACCGGCUAACUUCGUG